CAACCUAUAAAGUACUCAGAACAUACUUUUGUCUGCCCUGUCCAUCGACAUUGCGACGGUACCUGGCCAACAUCUUGGGGCAUUUCAAACAAGGGUUUUUAGAUACCAUCAUUGCCCAGAUGAAAAAUCGAGUCAAGACAAUGGAGCCUCAUCAACGCAAUGUCGCAAUUGUGUUGGAUGAGAUGGCCAUUAAAAAACAUCUGUGUUACAAUCCUACAUUUGAUUGUGUAGAUGGCUUGACGGGCACAGGAAAGAUGGCUGACCACGCAAUGGUCAUCAUGUGUAGAGGCAUAGCUUCUAAAUGGAAACAAGCAAUCGCUUAUUUCUUUGCGAAAUCGGCUUUGCCUGCAGAGGAAACUGCAGACAUAUUGGUGGAGGCUGUAAGACGUAUGGCUAGGAUUGGU
Alosa alosa (allis shad) is the source of this 404-nucleotide long non-coding RNA. RefSeq lists it as uncharacterized. The record is from RefSeq and is a predicted model, not a curated record. The transcript has 3 exons. Lineage: Eukaryota; Metazoa; Chordata; Actinopteri; Clupeiformes; Clupeidae.